UGAUAGUGGCGAACGGGUGAGUAAUGUAUGAGCAAUCUGAGCCGUGGAUCUGGAAUAACUCUGCGAAAGUGGGGCUAAUACCGGAUGUGGUUGUUUUCCGGCAUCAGGAAACAAUUAAAGGUGGGGACCUUCGGGCCUGCUGUUUAGGGAGGAGCUCAUAUCCUAUUAGCUUGUUGGUGGGGUAAAAGCCCACCAAGGCUGUGAUGGGUAGCCGGCCUGAGAGGGUGACCGGGCACACUGGGACUGAGACACUGCCCAGACUCCUACGGGAGGCUGCAGUCGAGAAUCCUUCGCAAUGGGGGAAACCCUGACGAAGCGACGCCGCGUGAGCGAUGAAGGCCUUCGGGUUGUAAAGCUCUGUCGCCUGGGAAAAAUGGCCAGUAUGUUAAUACCAUUCUGGUUUGAUGUUACCAGGAAAGGAAGCCCCGGCUAACUCUGUGCCAGCAGCCGCGGUAAUACAGAGGGGGCAAGCGUUGUUCGGAUUUACUGGGCGUAAAGGGUGCGCAGGCGGCCUUAAAAGUCAGAUGUGAAAUCUUCCGGCUCACCCGGGAAACUGCAUCUGAAACUCUAAGGCUUGAGUAUGUGGGAAGAGAGUGGAAUUCUCGGUGUAGCGGUGGAAUGUGUAGAUAUCGAGAAGAACACCAGU
Molecule: ribosomal RNA, 646 nt
Filed under: uncultured organism
Description: bacterial SSU rRNA
Rfam family: Bacterial small subunit ribosomal RNA
Source: RNAcentral